Molecule: long non-coding RNA, 462 nt
Organism: Bos taurus (domestic cattle)
Lineage: Eukaryota; Metazoa; Chordata; Mammalia; Artiodactyla; Bovidae
Source: Ensembl
AUAAGGAAUACCUAGGAUGGGCCAAAUGGUUUCCCAAAAUCCACCUGCCAAUACAGGAGACACAGGAGAUGCAGGACUGGCUCUGUAGUUACAUAAAUGUAAGGCAAGUACCCACUCAUUGUCCUUGGCCACGGCAGUGAAGUCACCAUAAAUCUGAAUGCUGAUGCUGCAGAUCAAGGUGCCAAGUAUCCCAUCCAGUGAUGUAAGUGGGUAUCUUCGGCCAGAACCCUGCCCUUGAAGAGGGUGUCAGAAUCCAGAGAGCCAAGCAGCCCACCACCCUCGGCAGACUGGACUGCUAAAGGUUCCACAUCACCUCCAGUGGGCUUCCACUGAUGCGGGAUGUCCAUGUCAGAUAUUGACUGAGAGGCUGACAGAACCCUGCCUCUGCAGUCUUGGCUUUUGUCUCCAAUGAACAGAAGCUUAGGCAAGGUGUUCAUCGGACCAUCCAAAAGGCCGGACAGA